ACAUAACCCAAAUGUCACCAAGGUUUUGCAUUGAAAAUCAAAGUUGUGUAAACUGUUGUGCAAAUGAGACACAGGUUAGAGAAGCGACCACGUCGCGGGGCUGGAAACUGGAAGUAUCCCGAGCUAAUUCUGCUACCACCAUCAUCUAUUGCAACAAGUGAUGGCUCCCACUGAUUGUCCCCGGAAGCUUGAUCGUUUUCAGGCGGAUGGUAACAGCGAUGUGAACAUUUGAAACAGGGAAGAUGGACACGAAAGAAGAAGACUGUAUAACAUGCAAAACUAAGCUUUUCGUUGUGUAAUAAUAAAUUAACACCAAUGCCAAUGUGUUUCAGACCCUCAUUUGCACGCCAUGUUGGUCGAAUUCAAAGUG
Amblyraja radiata (thorny skate) is the source of this 370-nucleotide long non-coding RNA. RefSeq lists it as uncharacterized. The record is from RefSeq and is a predicted model, not a curated record. The transcript has 2 exons. Lineage: Eukaryota; Metazoa; Chordata; Chondrichthyes; Rajiformes; Rajidae.